UACGUAGGGGGCGAGCGUUGUCCGAAGUUACUGGGCGUAAAGCGCGCGUAGGCGGGUGUUUAAGUCGGCUGUGAAAGCCCGGGGCUCAACUCCGGAGGGUCGGCCGAUACUAUUCAUCUUGAGGGCGGUAGAGAGAAGUGGAAUGGCUGGUGUAGCGGUGAAAUGCGUAGAUAUCAGUCGGAACACCGGUGGCGAAGGCGGCUUCUUGGGCCGUACCUGACGCUGAGGCGCGAAAGCCAGGGGAGCGAACGGG
Molecule: ribosomal RNA, 253 nt
Filed under: uncultured Armatimonadota bacterium
Lineage: Bacteria; Bacillati; Armatimonadota
Description: uncultured Armatimonadetes bacterium partial 16S ribosomal RNA
Rfam family: Bacterial small subunit ribosomal RNA
Source: RNAcentral